Molecule: long non-coding RNA, 4711 nt
Organism: Motacilla alba alba
Lineage: Eukaryota; Metazoa; Chordata; Aves; Passeriformes; Motacillidae
Exons: 3
Source: RefSeq, a predicted model, not a curated record
UGCCUUUCAGGAGUGACACUGGAGACUCUCUCCAAACAGACUGUGUCCAGCACUCAUUGCAAACAAGGAGAGGCUGGGGCUGCUAGGACCAGAAGGAAGAGAUGUGCUGCAUUCCUUCACAUGCUGUCCCAGCCCUGGCUCCUCGGGCAGCACAGGGAAACCUCCCAGUGGUGCUGAAAGGAAGGAACCAGUCUGGAUCUGCAAACCCAGCCUGGACUUGGAGCCUGAAGAAAUGCAAGUCGCCUGGGUCAGCAUGGUCCUCUGAGGCUCCUCUGAGAGUCAUCAAAUGCAGUCUCCUUAACAAACAGUAAAACACAAGCUAUGGUGAAUUCAUUAUCACAUCCCCUGAAUAUGCCCCAUCGUGGUGGUGAAAAUCUGUCUGUGGCAAGAGGAUGGUCCUUGACUAAACAAGCUGCCCUUUGCAUCUCGCCUCUCCCACACCCCUCCUGUAUCCUUCAAGGCUAAGGGAGGCCACUGCCAGGUUCUAGUUUGAUCCCUGAAACACAAUCCAUGGCAGUUUUGCCCAGUAACACCUGCACUGGAUGAUAUUAGCAUGCAGGCUGCCUUGCUGUGCGAAUAAACUCUCUCCAAGUUUGACAGCUGCUCAUGGAAGUAGAAAUCUUUCAUAAAAUCUUCCAGACCUAAUUAACUUAUCUGAAGCGCUGAAAAAUUUACAGCCUUUCUCUUGAGAGCUCGUUGCUUUGGCUGCCCACCCCACCUUUAAAAACCUGUGUUAUGUUCCUUGACUGCAGUUUUGUGACUCAAGGCUUCAGCCCUGGCAUUUCAUUAUGCCUCCGCUGGGCAUCAGGGAUGGAACAGGCUGUUCUCCCAGGAUUCUCUCCAGCAAUGUAGCUCUGAGAGAGGAGUUUUGGUUGCUUCAAGCCAAGCUGCAGCUUGGUAUCAGUCCCCCUUUGGCUGAUAUGGUCAGCAGGUCUGAAGAAUUCAGUAGUCCCUCAUUGUCACCUCCUUGUGCCAUUGCAAGACUUUUUACCUUGCACAGCUGCAAAAACUAGCAAGAGUUGUGUGGGGAAAAGGAAUAUCUGGGUGAAUGUGACAGGGAAAAGGAUAGUUCUUGCUCUCAGACAGCCUUGUGACCCUCAGAGCAUGUCAGGAAACAGAGCCCCCUGACAUUCUGGCUUUAGUCUCUGAGUGUAUUCACACCCAGAGGUGAGAUGAUGUAGAUUUGUCUUCUAAUAUGGGGAGAGGAAACAGAGAGAAAGAACAAAUAUGGAAUCCUGUGCAGAUGGAGGUAUGAACCGGUGUGUGUGUGUGGAAGAGACAUGAACUACCCUGAUGAAAGCAGAGAUUUGCUGCCUGACAACAGGGAACGCUCUCUGCAGCACAAGGAAUUUAGGGAGCAGCACCUGAUCCCUGGUGAGGUCAGAGAGUCAAAGCCCAACUAAUCUAAUGCAAAAGAAGUGGGAGUACCCAGUCACCAAUCCUGCCAGCUGUGCCCCACAGAUCAGUAUGAAAGCACAGGCAGAGGAGGGGCAGGGAUGCAGUGCAUUUUUGGGAGGGGACUGCAAGGGGAAGAGAGCUCCUGCUGUCCUGCCACAGCACCUAAAAUAAAUAAAUGGGUUUGUGUUUCCAGUUCACUCUUCAGAGAACUUUGGCAAGUUUUCAUUUAUAAAAAGCAAAAAUACAAAUGAAAACUCCCAGGACACCAGCAUCAGAGUCAGAUAUUCGCGUUUCUCUUCCUGCAGAGCCCCCCCUCCUGCCCACCAGGUAUGCACUAGAACAGAAACUCCAGCAUUAUCAUAGUUCUGUGGGACUGGCUCAAUUAUUUUAUGCCUCUUAAAAGUGAACAGUCCUUGCUCCAAGGCUUUCCAGUCUAGAACAAAAGCACAGACUGCUUCCUCAAAUUCCCAGGAAGAGAAAAUGCAAGAGGUAUCACAAGUCAUUAGGAACAGUUCUCUGCAAUUUCCACCACCAUCUCAUACAAGCCCAGUCAAAACCAUCACAGAAAAGGACUGGGCUGUUUUCUCCCUUCCUUUCUAUUCCUGCUGGAAGAGGCACAGGGCACAUUUCUGAACAAAGGGGUUUCUUUCUUUCAGCCCUCAAGCCACUGAGUUUAAAGAUAACUCAGAUACCUCUGGCCCAUGUGGCAGCCUGUUCUUUGGGUUGUACUCUGUUGUCUGACCUCCCUGACAUCCCAAGAUUCAUCAACACCUGCUCCAGUUUGAAUUUUAAUUCCUAAACCUACUUUGAAGAGAAACAUGUUGAAACCAUGGCCUGAGACAGAGCCGUGACACCAUUUAAUGCCAUUUCUAAUCUUGCUUCUUAUACAAAUCAGUGUUCCUUAAGACCCACUGAGAACUUUCAUAUGGGACACACAAAAGUCAAACCUCCCAGUUACAAGAAAGAAUGACUGUGGGGAAAAUCCCCAAAAGCAGAACCCAGAUAAGCCAUCUACGUUUUCCUCCUUGGCUCCUAGGGCUGCAAAGUUAUCAGUUCCCAUCAGACCUCACCAAACAAACCCAUCCAGUCUGAGGCUGUAACAUUGCUUUCUGCUGAGACCACAGGGGCAAGCAAAUGCUUUGAUCAGCUAACCACUGCAAACUUUUAUUUAUUUUUAAUUUCCUUUUUACGUAGCAGACAUGGUUUGCAACAAAAGGUCAUUUGAAAAAGCGAUUUGGCCAGUGCACAGAGCAGCAAUGUUUCCCACAGCACACUCAGCUGGGCUGUGCCAGGGCCAGGAGGGCUGUCCUAGGGCUACCAGGGGGGUUGGGGUCAUUAUUGUCAUUCAGACUUUUGGCUACUCUAAUUUUUAUUCAGUUUUUUGAAUGGGAUGGGUUGACACGGAAUAAACCUCUGCCUGGGAAGUCUGGUAGAUGCCUUUGAGAUGUUUUCUUGGUGCCACACAACUGCAGAGCUCGUUCUGUCCCAUCUCUUACGUAACUGGUAAAUUUUCAAUUUCAAAUCCAUGAGUAACCAAGUGAUACAAAUUCCUAGGGACAGUGGAAGGCAACAGACCCAGAGGUGCAGCUGAGAUUGCAGACAGGUCUGGCACAGGUUUCUAUCCAAGCCAGUACCAUAGCACCUGGAUUAACCCUGUGGCCUGACAGAAGAACAGAGUUUCUUUUCCUCAUUUCUGGUUUUUUUUUUGGUUUUGCACCUUUCAACAGUGCUCUGUUAUGCACCUCCAUUCUUGUGCUACUGGUCUGCCUCACUGGCUUCUUUGAAGGGAAAUACGGAGGAGACUUUCCUCUGUCCUGGUCAGCAAACCCAAGGGAUCAGAGAUCAAGGUGAGCUGUCCCUGGGUGUGCACAUCACUCAGUACUGCAACCAAGUGACUGAGGCCAAACCAGCUGCUUAUUUCCUCAAAAGCAGCUCCCAUCUGUUGAGAAUGAAUAUCAUCAUCAUCAUCAUCAUCAUCAUCAUCAGGAGGAAACCUGUGCAGGGUCCAGCCAGUCUGUACUGACUGCAUCAACAACAGCCCCUGGCAAAGUUUAUUAGGGUGACCCUAAGAAAUGAGUAACAACCAGGAAGAUCACAGGAAAUGCUCUGCCAGCACUGCUGCACAGAGGGAGUGGGGUUUAGGACGCAUCAGGAUUUCAAAGGAGAUGAAAGCCCUGGCAAGACCAUUCAAGAAAAUGAAUAAUGACAUUUGCCAGCAAUUGCAGAUAAAGGAAAAAUCCCACAUGAUUUUGGAGUUUCAUAGAAAUAUCAACGGUAUCCGAUUUCUCUUGGGUCUGGAACAUCUGACACAUGAGAUCCUUGAUGACUUCAUUAGAAAUUCCUCAGACUUCACUCUCAUGGAGUUUGUGAACAAUGAAAAUUCACCCUUGGCAGCAUUUGUUACACCACAGUGGUUUGAAGAGUGAGUUCACACUCCUUGCUGAGCCUCCUGCAGCACACCAAGAGCGCAGGACACAGGACUGCAGUCCUGGAAGAUAAACAACAGCUUCACAGAAACCAGAAGGGACCUCAGAGAACAGGUAAUCCAUCUUUUUACCACAAACCAAGUCGAAUCAAAACCAAGCACUCCUGACCUGCUCUCAAAGACCUUCAGGAACAGACCUCACCACGUCCCCAGACAACCUAUUCCAAGGCUUUCACUGUCCUUUGCCAAUACUUCUUUUUGUUUUGUGUCUCCCUUUAAUCAUUCUCACAGCAGCUUACACACAUUAUUUCUUGUCUUACCCAGUAUGAGCUCACAGAACAGAUUAUUCCCUCCUGUGCAACAGCAUUGCCUGGAUUUGCCACAGUUCUCUGUCUUUGUAGGUUAUGAAGGCAAGAUUAAAGGAUCUCUGAUGAUUUCUGUUACUCUCCCUGCAGGCGCUCCAGCCAGUUUGUGUUUCCCUUGAAGAGCAGCCCCUCUAAGCAAUGAGAUUUGAGGAUUUACCCAAACUUGGUUGAGCUAUAAGGACACCACUCUGACAGGACUCUCCACGCUGGGUUACACAGGCAAACAAAAUACAGUGAUCCAUGCAAGAGGAAAAUGAUCAGCAAGGGGCUCAAGCCACCCAGUGAUUCAUGGGUAGACUAAAAUGUGAUGGAGCUCUCAUUGAUCUCGUCCAGAUAUGUGCUUGGACCAAACUGUUCAGCUCUUCUGAAUGUGAAAUUGAAUUUACAGCCUAAUUCCUUUUGGAAAGAAAAAAGACCUGAAACUCUCUAGGAAUCAGCAAAUGAACUCCUGAAUUUAAUAGCAUGACUGCUCCAUGCCAUCUUUCACAUGAUGAAACAAAUGCAUCGUGAUUGCAUUGUCCUA